CCUGUCGGAGAAUGAAGACACAACCCCGCCUCUCCCCACCCCACCCCCACCCCCGCUACCCCUCCUCAAUUAGACUCCCUUGCCUGUUUCCUUGAACGGAAAUUUGGACCCAACCAACGCUCUUCCAGCGAACUGGGUUCUAGGAGCAGUAUUUACCCGAUGUUUCUUUGAUCCUUUCUAGCACAGGAGCCCUAGCAACGUUUCAGAACCGAAGGGGUCACACGGUGUUCCUGUGUCUGAAGUCCUUCCUGCUGCUAUACCUCCAAGCUACAACUAAGGAGUUAACAUAAUUUCACGGGCUCUCUAGCUUCCCAGUUGCCCAUACCAGAGGAGGCUGACAUAUAAACCUGUGAUCAUGCCUGAAGGACCACACGCAACAGUACAUGAGAGGAUGGAAGGUGGAGAAUGUCUUAUCAAGCAGCAAGAAUUUGGCCAGGAUUAGAAGACAG
This 449-nucleotide long non-coding RNA is filed under the name Canis lupus familiaris (dog). RNAcentral's name for it is "lncRNA (ENSCAFG00845002327.1)". The record is from RNAcentral. Lineage: Eukaryota; Metazoa; Chordata; Mammalia; Carnivora; Canidae.